UUCUUAAUAUUAAAUACAUUCCUAAAUCAUUUCAUAUCGAAUCUAUCUUCUUAAGUUCUGUGAUAUCAGAGUCAAUUCCAAACCUACUCGACUCCCUAGAUCAUUUAUCUAGCGAUCGAAAGAGUUCAAAAUCAACGGCUGAAAAUAAAAAUCUCACAGAAAGUGAUGAUAUAAUACUAAAAUUUUCAAUCAGAAAUACUAAUUUUGCAGUAAAUAGCAUAAAGGAUUUUCUAUCAAAAUUUUAUCUGAUUUGAAUACUUCUACACCGUUAAACUUGCAAACAAUAUAUAUCAACCAUUAAAAUUGUAGAUUUUGAACCAUUUUGAUCGUUAGAUAAAUGAUAUCGAAAAAUCGCAAUAUUUAUUUUCUAAAUACUUUAAAUAUACUGGAUCAAAUCUAACAGAGCCGAUCGUCGAUUCGGAAGCUCCAUUGUCGAAAACGGCUUAGGAGCAUGUAAGCCUCUGUCCUCCUAAUAGCACACAAAACCUACUCCAAAUUCCUGUAUUAAAAUCUUACCCCAUUAACUAUCCCUGUCUCGUUCAUCAUCUAUCAAAU
Molecule: long non-coding RNA, 555 nt
Filed under: Ananas comosus (pineapple)
Lineage: Eukaryota; Viridiplantae; Streptophyta; Magnoliopsida; Poales; Bromeliaceae
Description: long non-coding RNA (ACOM_LNC032269)
Source: RNAcentral